Molecule: ribosomal RNA, 519 nt
Filed under: uncultured eukaryote
Lineage: Eukaryota
Description: bacterial SSU rRNA
Rfam family: Eukaryotic small subunit ribosomal RNA
Source: RNAcentral
GGGGGCACCGCCACGAGUGGAGCCUGCGGCUUAUUUUGAGGGGCCCGGGGAAACUUACCCGGCCUGGACACUGGAAGGAUUGACAGAUUGACAGCUCUUGCUUGAUUCAUUGGGUGGAGUUGCAUGACAUUACAAUGUUGGUGGAGCAAUUUUGCUGGUUGAUUUCCAUGACUAACGACACCCUGGGUUAUGAAAUGUGCUCCCGGCUUUUAAACCCCGGGCGGACUUUAUCCUUUGACAGGUGGCGGUUCAGCCGGACGAAAAGGAGACUGCCAGGUCUGUGAUGCCCUUUGGUGGGGAUGACCGCACGUCAUCAUGGCCCUUACGAUCAGGGCUACUUUAUGUUCCUGCUGGCGCGGAGUGGGGAACCCACCGCACCUUCUUCAGGAGAGCUCAUAAAGAGUGUCAUAAUCCUGAUUGAAGUCUGAAAUCCCACUCCAUGAAAUUCGAAUCCCUGCGUUUCUUGCAUCCCAACGCCUUGGUGACUACGUUCCUCGCUCCUGCCCAUUGAACCCGUUA